Molecule: ribosomal RNA, 401 nt
Filed under: uncultured bacterium
Lineage: Bacteria
Description: bacterial SSU rRNA
Rfam family: Bacterial small subunit ribosomal RNA
Source: RNAcentral
GGGGAAUAUUGCACAAUGGGCGCAAGCCUGAUGCAGCAACGCCGCGUGCGGGAAGAAGGCCUUAGGGUUGUAAACCGCUUUCAGCAGGGAAGAAAAUGACGGUACCUGCAGAAGAAGGAGCGGCCAACUACGUGCCAGCAGCCGCGGUGACACGUAGGCUCCAAGCGUUGUCCGGAUUUAUUGGGCGUAAAGAGCUCGUAGGCGGUUUAGUAAGUCGGGUGUGAAAACUCAGGGCUUAACCCUGAGACGCCACUCGAUACUGCUAUGACUUGAGUACGGUAGGGGAGUGGGGAAUUCCUGGUGUAGCGGUGAAAUGCGCAGAUAUCAGGAGGAACACCAGUGGCGAAGGCGCCACUCUGGGCCGUAACUGACGCUGAGGAGCGAAAGCGUGGGUAGCAAAC